AUGGGGAAAAUAAUUCACAUUAGUGGAUUAGCUAUGGUGUAUUAUCUAAACCAACAGAAUGCAGUGGAUUAACUAUGGAAAAAGAGAGGAAAAUCAUUCACGUAUCACAAAUCAUUCAACUCCAUCCUCUCUCUCUCUCUUCAAUACUCCUUUUCUCUCUCAUGCAUUUGAAGAUCUGAAGUAAAAUUAAAAAAGAAACCCUCUUUUUUGGGGGUGAUUUGAUGUAGAUCUAAAAAUCUAGUUCUGAAUAAAAAUCAAAGCAACCCCAUCUUUUGUUACAUAGAUCCGUUCACCCAGACCUAGAGUUAGAGAGAGAGUGUGUGUCCAAUUUCAAAGAGAAAGUAAGAGAGAGAGAAAGUGAGGAAGAAGGAUGUCCAAUUUCUCCGAUUGGGUGGUGGGCCGGCGGCAGCGCCGCCGUGAGCGGCGGAGUUCCCCGGUCUCCUCCUGACGAGUUGAUGCUCUGGUCGACUUUGGAGGUUAUGGGUUUAGUUGGUUCAAGACUGGUGGUGGCGGUUUGACGGCUGGGUGGUGGGCCGGCGGCAGCGCCGCGGUGAGCGGCGGAGGUCCCGGUCUCCUCCUGUGUUGUUGAUUUAUCUGGUAUUUUUUUUUUUGCCAUAUGUUCUUGAUUUUUCUUGGUUUAGUAUGUUGGGGAAUUUGAUGUUUGAUAUUUUGUUUUGAUUUGGUAUGUUGGGGAUUUUCAUAUGGGCCUCUGUUCUUGAUGUUUGUUUUGAUUUUGGUAUGUUGGAGAUUUUGAUCUGUGGGUUUUGAUAUGUUCGUUUUUGGGUGGCGAUGUUCUUGUUUGAAAUAUGUUUGAAUGAUGUUCUUGUUUUCCUUUUGAAUGUUCAAAUCGUUU
This 853-nucleotide long non-coding RNA is filed under the name Helianthus annuus (common sunflower). RNAcentral describes it as "hypothetical non coding rna". The record is from RNAcentral. Lineage: Eukaryota; Viridiplantae; Streptophyta; Magnoliopsida; Asterales; Asteraceae.